Solanum pennellii is the source of this 1054-nucleotide long non-coding RNA. RefSeq lists it as uncharacterized. Lineage: Eukaryota; Viridiplantae; Streptophyta; Magnoliopsida; Solanales; Solanaceae. The record is from RefSeq and is a predicted model, not a curated record. The transcript is spliced from 2 exons.
UCGACAAGACCUAACAACCAGCGAGCAAAUCGUGUGUCCCUUUUCCCUCAACCUAUCUUGAAUUAUUCUCAGCCCAAUAAUUCUCAGCAGCCCUAAGCCCAUUCCCUUUCCCAGGCCCAUUUCCUUUUUUUUCCUUUCUUUUCUCUUCAAACAGCCCAUUUUCAGAUCCUUUGAAUGGCCCCUUCUUCAUCUCUUCCAACGAAACAAUGUCGCAACCAGCGAGCAAAUCGCGUGUCCCUGUCCCCUCAACCUUAUCCUCUCGUACAAGAGCCGUUCGAGAUUCGUGAGGUGUCAAAAUCUCGUAGCUUCAUCGUCCUUGCUCCAAGAUCGAACGGAUCCCCUCUCGCAUUCGUUGGAGAUUGCAGUACUGUUGACAGACCUUUCAAUGUUUUCUUUUCCAAGAAAUAUUUGAAUUUCGAAUUUAAAAUCCAAUCUUCUUCACCCGUCUUCCCCCCUUAAAAGUAUGCAUUUUUGCCUUCUAUAAAUACAUCCUUAGUUUUCAUUGAAAAAGGGGAGAAAACAUUAAUUUAAUUCCCGGCUCAUAGUGAUGGAGUUCUUCACGUAAAGCUCGUCGUCCUAGUCUUGCUGCUCCAAAGAAGUCACCAUGGACUCUUUCUCCUCUCCUUUGCACUUCAAAUUGAGCCAUGGGCUCAAUUAUUCCUAUCGAGUUGACCCCAUCAUUCGAAGGAAUUGGAAGCUGAGGCAGGUCCCGAAAGCACCCAAAAAAUGGUUUUAUACGAGAUGUAUACAUUCAUUACACAUAGAUAUGCAGGUCGAAAAAUGUGUAAUUAUAUGUCCAGGUGUUAGGAAGAAAGAGAUACAUAAAAAGAGCUGAUAUGUACGCUCAUAUACACUGAUAUACGUCCAGUAUAUAAGCAGAAGAGAAAAUGGUCUGGAACAAGUCCAAAUAGUGCGGCUGGCCCAAAGUUUCUUGGAAACAAUAGGCCCAAAGGACUAAAUCCUUCUCUCCCUCUCUUUAUCAUUUGAUUGCAUUGUUUUAUGGAAAAAUUACAUAAAUUAAUACAUUUUAAAAAAUAAUUAUUGAUUUUAGCUA